CCUACGGGAGGCAGCAGUGGGGAAUCUUGCGCAAUGGGCGAAAGCCUGACGCAGCCAUGCCGCGUGAAUGAUGAAGGUCUUAGGAUUGUAAAAUUCUUUCACCGGGGACGAUAAUGACGGUACCCCGGAGAAGAAGCCCCGGCUAACUUCGUGCCAGCAGCCGCGGUAAUACGAAGGGGGCUAGCGUUGCUCGGAAUUACUGGGCGUAAAGGGAGCGUAGGCGGAUAGUUUAGUCAGAGGUGAAAGCCCAGGGCUCAACCUUGGAAUUGCCUUUGAUACUGGCUAUCUUGAGUAUGGGAGAGGUUAGCGGAACUCCGAGUGUAGAGGUGAAAUUCGUAGAUAUUCGGAAGAACACCAGUGGCGAAGGCGGCUAACUGGCCCAUUACUGACGCUGAGGCUCGAAAGCGUGGGGAGCAAACAGGAUUAGAUACCCUGGUAGUCCACGCCGUAAACGAUGAGUGCUAGUUGUCGGCAUGCAUGCAUGUCGGUGACGCAGACUACGACAUAA
This 508-nucleotide ribosomal RNA is filed under the name uncultured bacterium. RNAcentral's name for it is "bacterial SSU rRNA". It matches the Rfam family "Bacterial small subunit ribosomal RNA", at positions 338 to 863 of the family's 1533-position model. The record is from RNAcentral.